AUCACCUGGGGAUCUUGUUAAAAUGUAGGCUCUGAUUCAGCAUGGCUGCAUUAGGGGCUAAGAUUCUGCAUUUCUAACAAAUUCUCAGGUAAUAUCAA
This 98-nucleotide microRNA precursor is filed under the name Pteropus alecto (black flying fox). Its description in RNAcentral is "mir-544 microRNA precursor family". It matches the Rfam family "mir-544 microRNA precursor family". The record is from Rfam by way of RNAcentral. Lineage: Eukaryota; Metazoa; Chordata; Mammalia; Chiroptera; Pteropodidae.